Long non-coding RNA from Mytilus californianus (California mussel), 4290 nucleotides. RefSeq lists it as uncharacterized. Lineage: Eukaryota; Metazoa; Mollusca; Bivalvia; Mytilida; Mytilidae. The transcript has 5 exons. The record is from RefSeq and is a predicted model, not a curated record.
UAGGGAUUUUCAUCCUACAGAUAAAGUACACUGGCGGAAUCAAACCACUGUUACAACUGUAGGUUUUACUUUUAACCACCCCUUGGUUUAUUUUGUGUGUUGCUUGAGUGUUUUGUGUGUGGUUAUAAAUACAAUUUGAAAAUAUGGGGAAAAAAUUCAAAAAGUUGCCAUAUAAUAAUAAUAGUAUAGGUAAUAUAAUAAUUACAUAUUGUGUGAAAAGAUUGAUUGCUAAUGGUUUGUUUAUAUUUUCUUUGUUGAAGCUCAGUGCAUAGACUGCAGUUUUUGGCAAUUCUCAACAAGGAAAGAAAACUUGAAACGUACAGCAACCAAGAUACAGAUAUUAGCAGUUAUUGAAUAUGUACAGAUGCCCUUAAAGUUUUUGAUGAAGUAAAGAGCAAGAUACUAUCUUAUCCAGCAGUGAUACGGUAUGACCAAUUCCCAGACAAUAUGACAAAGAAUAACAAUUGGACACCAACAGUUCACAUAUGAGAAGAUGUUUUUAGGACUUCAUGUAUGUACAGGAGCUUCUAAGGAGGAAUUGAAAAGAAGAUUGCAUUCGAUCGAUCUCCUUAACUUGCUAUAAAGAUGAUUUCCUUUUAUUGAAUAAUUCAAAGUAUGGUGACUUUGUUGAACGCAUGUAUCCCAUUGAACUUGAAAUAAAGGAUACAACAGAUACAGGUGAAUCCUUGCUGGGUCAUUGAAAAACCUACUGGAAGUUCUUCUGAUACUGGAAAUUGAAAACAAAUGGUCAUUUUUGGAAGAAAAUUGAUAGAGGAAAGAUACAGAUAUACAAGAAUUUCAUAUUUGAAAUGCUUUUAAUAUUUCUUUUGUAUAUGACCACCAAAUUUUGGCACAAAUAAGGCCAAUUGAAAUUAAUUGAUAGAUUUUCAUCCCGCCCGACCCUCUGAAAUCGUCCCGCCCCGAUUUUUUUAAUUUUUAAAAAUAUACGAUUUCCGGAUUUUGUUCAUUUCUGUUACCGGUAACCGCCGAUAAUUUCGUUUCAUUUAAACUUCCUUUUUCAAAUUUCGGUUUUCGUAUUUCUUCGAGUAAUAUAAGUCGACAUAGUCUUCUGCUCAAUGAUGACAACAUUAUCUUUUGAGAAUAUAGAUUGAUUACUAGAAGGACAUAAAUUAUUCGGGUUACAAGUAAUUGGCGGUGUCCAAGAACCGUAAUCGCGGUAUGUCACAAAUUUCAGUGAAUAUAAAACCGUGAAUUAUUUUAUUUAUACAAUGACAUUGUGUAAGGAAAUUUAGACUGAAUGAUAUCCAAAGCGCAAAAAUCAUGGAACACAUUGAUACAAAAUCAUGACUGGAAUAAAGAAAUUAACAGAAGCACGAACCGUGCGAUUUAUGACCGUAUAUUGAGUACAAAGAGUCGGCCAACGUACAAAAUGUAUUAUAGCUGCCAUGGCUUAGAUUUACCUCCAAGGCUGUCGUUUCAGCCCUUCAAUAGAGUUAUAAAACAACUUUUUCUUUUUGGUUCAGUUCAUGUUUUACAUUGUAAUUAUAUUUGCACCUUGCAUAAGAAUCUUAAAAGCAUGAACCCUAGUAUUUUCAACACAGUUUGAGUUUUCAUUUCACUCUGUACUCAUAAUAUUUGUGUUGCAUACCAAUGCAUAUGCUUCAUUUUAUGGGCACUAUAAAUCACAACUUAGAAAGCAAAAAAUGAUCUAUGUAAUCUAAAAGAGAACAUUUUUCCACGUUUUUGCUAUUUACUGAAAAUCGGUUUCUAAAGCGGCAAUUACAUGUAGAACAAUGGUUGCCAAUCGGAAAUAUUGAUUUAAGAAUUUUAAAAAAAUGUAGAAUUCCUUAUAUAAACAUGAUGUAAGCUUAUUAUUACCCUUGUACAUUGUGUAAAUGAACAACACGUCUCAAAAUGGUUUAGGAGGAAAUUUAAAAUUAAAAAAAUAAAAUCCGUCUACCCGCCCCAUUUUUUUCAAAAAUCUGCAUGAAAAUCUACUAAUUAAUUUUAGUUGGCCUAAUGGUAUCAUUGUUAUCUUUGCCAUAUAAACAAAUAUACCUGGUAAAAUUUGUUCAUUAGAGGAAACUUUAAUUACAAAUAUCUAUUCACAUUAGAUGAUUUUUUUACCAAUUUUCUAAUUUUAAAAAUAAAUCAAUUGUUUUUAUUCUGUGGGAUUCAAAAUGUUUUGCCAUUUAUGAUAAUCUAUUUAUUUUGAUUUGUCUGAAGUACAUUUCACAAAAAUUUCAAAUUCAAAAUAAGGCACCUACAGUGCAUACUCCAUCACAAAUUGAGGUAAUGUUAGUAUUGAUUCUGUGGUAAAUUUUUUGCAUUCAUUAUUUUAAUGUGGUCAACAUAUUGCUAGGUCAUCAUAUUAGUGUGUCCAGCAUAUCGUGGAUUCAUAAACAGUAUUGAGUGCAAAUUAGCAUAAAUAUUUCAGAGUUGUUGUCAAUUUAUGCUCUACAUAAUUUUUUAUUUUGGUUAUUAUUAUUAUUAUUCACAGUUGUUGUGCAUCAUAGUUUUAGCUCACCUGGCCCAAAGGGCCAAGUGAGCUUUUCUCAUCACUUGGCGUCCGUCGUCGUUAACUUUUACAAAAAUCUUCUCUGAACCUACAAUCAUCAUUGGGGUAUCUAGUUUAAAAAAUGUGUCCGGUGACCCGGCCAACCAACCAAGAUGGCCGCCAUGGCUAAAAAUAGAACAUAGGGGUAAAAUGUAGAUUUUGGCUUAUAUCUCUGAAACCAAAGCGUUUAGAGCAAAUCUGACAUAGUAAAAUUGUUUAUCAGGUCAAGAUCUAUCUGCCCUGAAAUUUUCAGAUGAAUCGACCAACCCGUUGUUGGGUUGCUGCCCCUGAAUUGGUAAUUUUAAGGAAAUUUUGCCGUUUUUGGUUAUUAUCUUGAAUAUUAUUUUAGAUAGAGAUAAACUGUAAACAGCAAUAAUGUUCAGCAAAGUAAGAUCUACAAAUAAGUCAACUUGACCAAAAUGGUCAGUUGACCCCUUAAGGAGUUAUUGCCCUUUAUAGUCAAUUUUUAACCAUUUUUCGUAAAUUUUUGUAAUCUUUUACAAAAAUCUUCUCCUCUAAAACUACUAAGACAAAUUUAACCAAACUUGUCCACAAUCAUCAUUAGGGUAUAUAGUUUAAAAAAUGUGUCCGAUGACCCCGCCCGCGAACCAAGAUGGCCGACAUGGCUAAAAAAUAGUACAUAGGGUAAAAUGCAGUUUUUGGCUCAUAUCUCUGAAACCAAAGCUUUAGAGCAAAUCUGAUGAAGAUAAAAUUGUUCAUUAGGUCAAGAUCUAUCUGCCCUGAAAUUUUCAGACCAAUCAGGCAUCACGUUGUUGGGUUGCUGCCCCUGAAUUGGUAAUUUUAAGAAAAUUUUGCAGCUUUUGGUUAUUAUCUUGAAUAUUAUUAUAGAUAGAGAUAAACUGUAAACAGCAAUAAUGUACAGCAAAGUUAGAUCUACAAAUGAGUCAACAUGACCAAAAUUGUCAAUUGACCCCUUAAGGAGUUGUUGCCCUUUAUACUAAAUUUUUUUGCAAUUUUCAUAAAUUUUGUAAAUUUUUGUAAAUUUUUACAAAAUAUUUUCCACUGUAACUACCGGGCCAAGUUCAUUAUAGAUAGAGAUAAUUGUAAGCAGCAAGAAUGUUCAGUAAAGUAAGAUCUACAAACACAUCACUAUCACCAAAACACAAUUUUGUCAUGAAUCCAUCUGUGUCCUUUGUUUAAUAUGCACAUAGACCAAGGUGAGCGACACAGGCUCUUUAGAGCCUCUAGUUUAGAAAUGUCUUCUUAUAACAGGAUUUUACCAAAAACUUAUAUAUAGAUGUAUUAAGAAAAAUUUAUUAACUUGUAUUAGGACAUCAGCAAAAAAUGAUAAAUAAUAUAGGCCUAUUAUGUAUUCCAUGGGACAGAUUUUGUUUUAGUCCAUUUUUGUAUAAAUGUUGCACCUUUAUUUUAUCUUUUUCUAGAUUUUAUAUGUGGCUCCACUCCUCACCCAUUGACAUGCUGGUUAAAAAGUAAAGAACACUAUAUAUAUAUAUAUAUAUAUACAAGUCUAAAUUGAAAUAUAUAUAUAUAUAUAUAUGAAUAUUUCAGCAAAUUAUGGUGGCAAAUCUGUUAAUUUUUUUAGAAUAGUCAUAAAUUUUGCCAAAUUAUGCAAAAAAUAUUGUUUUAACAAAAACCCACAUACAUUUUAAUGGAAUAGCCCUCACAAACUUUCAUUGCUUAUUAGCAUAGAUGCAAUAAGAACAUUAACUAGUUGAUUUAUAAAUUGUAAUGUUUGUGACUCAUGAUGACUGAAAUGACAUUGUAUGAAAUAAAGUUUGUGCCAAAAAACA